Homo sapiens (human) is the source of this 1776-nucleotide long non-coding RNA. Ensembl annotates it as long intergenic non-protein coding RNA 635. The record is from Ensembl. NCBI's taxonomy places the organism in Eukaryota, Metazoa, Chordata, Mammalia, Primates, Hominidae.
GGUCUCUUCAGCAUAGCAACAGCAGCGUAGCUGAACAUCUUACGGAUGGCCCAGGGCUCCAAAGGCUCGUUUCCUAAGUGAGAGAGAGCCUGGCUGAAGCUGUAUUACCAUUCAUUCUCCAGCCUCCGAAGUCUCAAAGCAUCACUUCCACCAUACUCUAACUGUCAAGACAAACACAAAGGCCCAGAAAGAAGAAUACACUAUCGAUGUUCCUUUUAAACAAGUAUUUGAGUAAAAGCGAUGUUUCCAAUGUGUGUCAGAAAGUGAAUACUUGUAUAUUUCCGCACGGUUAGAGCUGAGCUUUCCGAGCAAAUUUUACUGGGACCCGGUUGAAAGACAGGUCUUGGAAGUGAAAUGAUGACUGACUAGAUGAAACUGCCAGACUGUCUUCUGAAGUGGCUAUAAUAUUUACACUCCCAUCAGCAGUGUAGAAGGGGUCUCACUAUGUUGUCUGGAGUGCUGUGGUGGAGUGGAGUGGCUAUUCACAGCUGAGUUUGCAGAGUAAACCACUACCCUGAAAUCUGGAAAGGCAGGUGCACCCACAGAUCCUCAGCUGAGAUCCAAUUACCUGAAAUAGAAGCUGCCAUUAGGAACACUUAAAAGAGCCUGUUCUGCUGGGACACAGAAUCACUUGCUCCAUCUCAUACAUUGAUGAUGAUUAAUUUGUAUGUGUACCUUCCAAAAAAGAUGGUUGUGUUUGAAUGGAGGCCUUCUGGACAGGAAAAUUGCAAAGUACAAUUAACAUUUGAGUCUGUCUGAGUCAUGAAGAAAUGGAGAUUACUGAAAAUAAUUCAUUUUGGUAUCUUCUUACAUCCUGAGAGACUAAUCUUUCCAAGUUCAUCUGAGGCUCCUCUUCUCCAUGACAACCUCAUCCAGGGAUUUCUUCCUGUCCUGGUGUUUUAUGACAUAAUCACAUCCUUCCUGAGAUAAUGAGCACACAAUUGCCUGGAUACCUGAAGGAAUGGAGACAGCGGCAGAAAACACUGCAGAGAGGUGGAAACAUCCGUUAAUAUUUUAAAAUCCCAUUACUGCUACCAACAAUAAUAAUGGAUGCAUAGAAAUAGAUCUGGAUUAGCUGAGCUUGAAACAGUCCAUCUCACACACACACAAAAGAAUUUCAGAUACAGUGAACCCACAUGUUGAAGCUUUCUAGUAUAAUAAAAAUUUCAACUGUUCUGUUGAAUCAUCUGCCUGAUUGGAGGCUACAGAAAAGAUGUCAUCUUAGGAGUGCUUGCUCUGAGUGAGGCUCAUCUUCAAAUCUGAAUGACCACAAGGAGAUUUGAUUAUACAUGUGAACACCUCAGAAGGCACAGCCCACCCAGAAGGCAGACAGGUCAGGCUGCUUUUUCUUCAUUGCUUGGAUUCAAUCCUCCGGGCGGCUCAGGCUCAAACAUAACUUAAGCAUGAUUAAACUUUAGAAGAAGCUGCCAGGAAGACUGUGAAAUCUUCAUGCCCAAGGAUCCCUAAAAUUAGGAGCAACAACCACUUGGCUCAGACGGUUUAUGGAGGCAAAGGUUUGGAUGGGAUUAGAGAUUUCUAAAUGUGAGUUCGUGUCCUCUGCCAGACCACCUUACUUCCACCAUUCCUCAGCAAAUCAAGAAAAACAGGAGAAAAGACAUGCCUUUCCAUAAGUUAAAUCUAUUCUGUUUUAAUUCUAUAUUAUAUCUGCUGUACAACUUCUUUUGUUUGUAACACCAUAUUGUUGCUAGUAACUGGAAAUUAAUUUUCACAUGCCUCAGCUUAGAAAAAUAAAAAGCAGCCCUGCAUCAAUCCCAA